This 212-nucleotide small RNA is filed under the name Arabidopsis thaliana (thale cress). RNAcentral describes it as "ATSL166950". The record is from RNAcentral. Lineage: Eukaryota; Viridiplantae; Streptophyta; Magnoliopsida; Brassicales; Brassicaceae.
ACUUCUAUUAUUCUCAGAGUUAUUUGUAUUCACCCCUUGAUUCACUACAAAAAUAUGGAGCAUUUGUAGCGCCCGAAAAACGCUAUUUAAUUAUACUAUAGCGUUAUUAGAAGCGCUCUAUCAUCGUCCGUCAUAAUAUGUCGGAGACAUAUUGUAGCGCUUUUUUGUUCCGCUAUCAUUAUUUAAUAGCGAUUAGUUUCUGAUAUAAAUAA